Molecule: unclassified non-coding RNA, 391 nt
Filed under: soil metagenome
Description: partial contains 5.8S ribosomal RNA, internal transcribed spacer 2, and large subunit ribosomal RNA
Rfam family: 5.8S ribosomal RNA (bases 1-122)
Source: RNAcentral
GAUGAAGAACGUAGCGAAAUGCGAUACUUGGUGUGAAUUGCAGAAUCCCGUGAACCAUCGAGUCUUUGAACGCAAGUUGCGCCCGAAGCCAUUAGGCCGAGGGCACGCCUGCCUGGGCGUCACACGUCGUUGCCCCCCCAUCUACUCCUUCGGGAUUGCGGGGGGCGGAUGAUGGCCUCCCGUGCGCCUCGCCGCGCGGUUGGCAUAAAUGCCAAGUCCUCGGCGACGCACGCCACGACAAUCGGUGGUUGCGAAACCUCGGUUGCCCGUCGUGUGCGGUCGUCGCGCAUCGAGGGCUCGAAAAAAUUGCCGGGUUCCGGCUCGGCUUUCAACGCGACCCCAGGUCAGGCGGGGUUACCCGCUGAAUUUAAGCAGAUCAAUAAGCGGAGGA